UCUCGAAGUUAAUUUUUUAACGUGCUUGGGGCCUGUAAAAAAGUAUAAAUAAAUUAAAAAUAAAAAAACAAAACCUGAAAUUAUAUCACCAAAAAUCAUUUUAAUAAUUUUUAAAUAUUUUAACAUUUUUUCUGGAUUUAUAGAAUAAUUUCAAUAAAGUGCUAACUAGAAAUAAUACAGAAUAAUACAAAACUAAGACGUUGAACAAUUGCUUUUAAUUCAUAAUACUUUUAUAAUUGUUUUAUCUAUUAUCUAAAGUAUACUACACAUUACUGAAAAAAUAACGAAAUAACAAACAUAUAAGAAAAUAAUUAGCUUAAAAUAAACUUAUCUUAAAAUUAUAACAAUAAUGUCACCAAAUUUGCUUAAAUCAAGUAUUCUCACAAAAUGCCAUAGAGCUGUUGUAAGAAGUCGACCACAAAUACCAUUGGAGUUGGCUCCUGAGAAAACUCGAAAAAGAAGAUUAACUGAUCUCAGCACUCAGAUAAGUACUGAUGAGUUGUGUGAUUUAUCUAAAAAAACUAAAAUUAGAUGAAAAUAAAAGUGGAGUACAGUUAGUGGAUAAAAUUUGUAAUCCGGAGUCCGACUAUGAACUGUUAAAUAUAAAUAAAAAGAUUGAAGAAACCAAAAUGACUCCACAAGAAGCAUUAUCUUUAAUAAUUGAGGCAAACCUGACAAAGAAGUCGUAUAUUUUAGUGAGAAAAAAUGCUUUGAAACAUAAGUGUAAUAUUUACUUACCUUAUAAAAAGGUAUUUUCACACACAGUGUGUAAAAAUUAUGCUACAGAGGCUACUUUUGAAACCAAGCCCUUUCGUCUCCAUAAGUUAGAUCAUGGUCCAGCUACUCACGUGACAGUUACAAAAGCAGAUGCUCUAAAGUAUUAUAAACAAUUGCAUACUGUUCGCAGAAUGGAAACUGCUGCUGGAAAUUUGUAUAAAGAAAAAAUUGUCAGAGGAUUUUGUCACCUAUAUUCUGGGCAAGAAGCAUGCGCUGUUGGUAUGGUAGCAGCAUUGAGACCUCAAGAUUCUGUUAUCACUGCUUAUAGAGCUCAUGGAUGGACUUAUCUGAUGGGUGUGACGCCGCUUGGUGUUCUUGCUGAACUAACUGGACGGCAAAGUGGCAAUGCUCGUGGCAAGGGUGGUUCAAUGCAUAUGUAUGCAAAAAAUUUUUAUGGUGGUAACGGCAUCGUUGGAGCUCAGGUGCCGCUUGGAGCUGGAAUUGCUUUUGCCCAUAAAUAUCAAAAUACAGGUGGUGUAUGUCUUGCUUUAUAUGGUGAUGGUGCUGCAAAUCAAGGUCAAAUAUUUGAAGUUUACAAUAUGUCAAAAUUGUGGAACGUCCCAUGCAUAUUUAUAUGUGAAAAUAAUGGUUAUGGUAUGGGCACAAGUGUAGAUCGAGCUUCAGCUAGUACUGAAUAUUAUACCAGAGGAGAUUACGUCCCAGGAAUAUGGGUUGAUGGAAUGGAUGUCUUAGCGGUUCGAGAGGCAACAAAGUUUGCUAUUGAUUACUGCACUUCAGGAAAAGGUCCGUUAGUCAUGGAAACUUUUACGUACAGAUAUAGCGGUCACAGUAUGUCAGAUCCUGGUACAAGUUACCGCACGAGAGAAGAAAUUCAAGAAGUUAGACAGACUAGAGAUCCGCUCACUAGUUUUAAAGAAAGAAUUUUAAAUGCCAAUCUUGUCAGUUCUGAUGAAUUAAAGAUUUAACGUCAUUCUAUCUUUUGUGUAUGUAAUGACCUCUUCUUCCUUGUCACCUCUCAGCUAUAUCUAUGUGCCAGUGCUUUUUACUAUUAUACAUAUUGUAACAAAAUGGAAAGUGAUAUUCGUAAAGAAGUAGAUGAUGCUGUGAAAAUAGCAAAAACUGAUAACGAAAUACCUCUUAGUGAACUCACGACUGAUAUCUAUGCUUAUGGAAUCGAAAAAGAAAUUCGUAAUACUACACCAUUUCAACCAUUAUUACAUUCCAAUUUAGGACCUGCAAUCAAUGCCUAAAUAUUGUUGAAGGACAAGUGUUUUUUUCUCAUAAAAUUUACAUUGAUGAAUACAAAAAUGUAAAUAAAGUAUAGAUUUUAUA
RNA transcript from Nasonia vitripennis (jewel wasp), 2070 nucleotides. It is a transcript of the gene named probable pyruvate dehydrogenase E1 component subunit alpha, mitochondrial, with no coding region annotated. NCBI's taxonomy places the organism in Eukaryota, Metazoa, Arthropoda, Insecta, Hymenoptera, Pteromalidae. The transcript is spliced from 8 exons. The record is from RefSeq and is a predicted model, not a curated record.